UACGUAGGGGGCGAGCGUUGUCCGGAAUUAUUGGGCGUAAAGGGCUCGUAGGCGGUUUGUCGCGUCGGGAGUGAAAACCUCGGGCUUAACUCGGGGCUUGCUUUCGAUACGGGCAGACUGGAGGUAUGCAGGGGAGAACGGAAUUCCUGGUGUAGCGGUGAAAUGCGCAGAUAUCAGGAGGAACACCGGUGGCGAAGGCGGUUCUCUGGGCAUGACCUGACGCUGAGGAGCGAAAGUGUGGGGAGCGAACAGG
RNAcentral lists this ribosomal RNA (253 nucleotides) under uncultured bacterium. Its description in RNAcentral is "partial 16S ribosomal RNA". It matches the Rfam family "Bacterial small subunit ribosomal RNA", at positions 524 to 776 of the family's 1533-position model. The record is from RNAcentral.